GGGCCAGUAGCUCAGCCGGUUAGAGCAGACGACUCAUAAUCGUCCACGCGUGGGUUCAAGUCCCACCUGGCCUACUA
RNAcentral lists this transfer RNA (77 nucleotides) under Nocardioides jejuensis. Its description in RNAcentral is "Nocardioides sp. 18JY15-6 tRNA-Met". It matches the Rfam family "tRNA". From Rfam's summary of the family: Transfer RNA (tRNA) molecules are approximately 80 nucleotides in length. Their secondary structure includes four short double-helical elements and three loops (D, anti-codon, and T loops). Further hydrogen bonds mediate the characteristic L-shaped molecular structure. tRNAs have two regions of fundamental functional importance: the anti-codon, which is responsible for specific mRNA codon recognition, and the 3' end, to which the tRNAs corresponding amino acid is attached (by aminoacyl-tRNA synthetases). tRNAs cope with the degeneracy of the genetic code in two manners: having more than one tRNA (with a specific anti-codon) for a particular amino acid; and 'wobble' base-pairing, i.e. permitting non-standard base-pairing at the 3rd anti-codon position. Lineage: Bacteria; Bacillati; Actinomycetota; Actinomycetes; Propionibacteriales; Nocardioidaceae. The record is from RNAcentral.